RNAcentral lists this long non-coding RNA (218 nucleotides) under Lupinus angustifolius (narrow-leaved blue lupine). Its description in RNAcentral is "long non-coding RNA (LANG_LNC001844)". The record is from RNAcentral. Lineage: Eukaryota; Viridiplantae; Streptophyta; Magnoliopsida; Fabales; Fabaceae.
CUUGUCAUGUUUCUUACUAACUUUCUUUCUAGCUCCUUGAUGAUUAACAUAAUUGAUGGAAUGAUUUCCUUGACUCCUCAUUCUGGUUUCCUCUUGAACUAACAUACUAUGCAAUUCAUGCACAUUCCAUUUAUCUUUCAUGGUGUUAUAGUUCAUUUGGAAAUGACCAUAUUCAGAGGGUAAUGAAUUUAGUAUAAAUUGCACAAGGAAGUUUUCAU